UGCAGUCGAACGGUAACAUAGAUUGCUUGCAAUCUGAUGACGAGUGGCGAACGGGUGCGUAACGCGUAUGCAACCUACCUUCAAUCGGGGAAUACCCCAGAGAAAUUUGGAAUAAUACCCCAUAGUACAACAAAUUCGCAUGUUUUUGUUGUUAAAGUUUAGGCGAUUGAAGAUGGGCAUGCGUGACAUUAGUUAGUUGGUAAGGUAACGGCUUACCAAGACAACGAUGUCUAGGGGUUCUGAGAGGAUGAUCCCCCACACUGGUACUGAGACACGGACCAGACUCCUACGGGAGGCAGCAGUGAGGAAUAUUGGACAAUGGGCGAGAGCCUGAUCCAGCCAUGCCGCGUGAAGGAUGACUGCCCUAUGGGUUGUAAACUUCUUUUAUGUAGGAAGAAACCCUAUCUCGUGAGAUAGGCUGACGGUACUACACGAAUAAGGACCGGCUAACUCCGUGCCAGCAGCCGCGGUAAUACGGAGGGUCCAAGCGUUAUCCGGAUUUAUUGGGUUUAAAGGGUGCGUAGGCGGGAAAUUAAGUCAGUGGUGAAAGCCCACAGCUCAACUGUGGAACUGCCAUUGAAACUGAUUUUCUCGAAUAUGAUUGAAGUGGGCGGAAUAUGACAUGUAGCGGUGAAAUGCUUAGAUAUGUCAUAGAACACCGAUAGCGAAGGCAGCUCACUAAGUCAUCAUUGACGCUGAGGCACGAAAGCGUGGGGAGCGAACAGGAUUAGAUACCCUGGUAGUCCACGCCGUANACUAUGAUCACUUGCUAUUGGCGAUAUACUGUCAGUGGCAUAGCGAAAGUGUUAAGUGAUCCACCUGGGGAGUACGAU
RNAcentral lists this ribosomal RNA (833 nucleotides) under uncultured marine bacterium. RNAcentral's name for it is "bacterial SSU rRNA". It matches the Rfam family "Bacterial small subunit ribosomal RNA", at positions 56 to 886 of the family's 1533-position model. The record is from RNAcentral.